GGCCCGCGCCUUGCUGUGCACAAGGCGAUGGUAGUCAACGGCGAUUACCCGACUUCGACAAAGGCGUCGC
Non-coding RNA from Pseudomonas nitroreducens TX1, 70 nucleotides. NCBI's taxonomy places the organism in Bacteria, Pseudomonadati, Pseudomonadota, Gammaproteobacteria, Pseudomonadales, Pseudomonadaceae. The record is from Rfam.